Monodelphis domestica (gray short-tailed opossum) is the source of this 885-nucleotide long non-coding RNA. RefSeq lists it as uncharacterized. The record is from RefSeq and is a predicted model, not a curated record. NCBI's taxonomy places the organism in Eukaryota, Metazoa, Chordata, Mammalia, Didelphimorphia, Didelphidae.
CUUAGUUCCAUGUUUGGAGUCAUGUGAGACAGGACAGACAACACUAGAAAGGGAAGAUAGAGCAGAAACAUCUUCCAGAGGAAUCUAGGUUUCCUUGAGAAGAAUAAAAUGGAAAGAGUGCAUGAAAUCUAGGACAAAGGAGAACUUGUGAGGAGGAAUAGAAGGGAUGUCAAGACUAUGAGAAAGCAGAGGUUGAUAGUGAUGUCACAAAGGUCUAGAGAUGAUGUUGAUAAGAAUGGAAUAUAUAGAGGUGAAGGUAAGGGAGCAAGAGGAGGAACGUGGAUAAAAAGAGUGAAGCAGUUCCUUACUUUCAUGAAGAUUAUAUUCUAAUGGAUGAACAAUAAACAAGCAUGCCUGAUGAUUGAUCCAGCAGCUUCACAGGACAAUUUCUAAGCUCACUUAUUCACCCUCCAAGGAAAGACAAUCGAGAAGAUGAAAGUGAAAUCAGAUAACUAAGAAUGGACACAGAAAUUAACCAGUAAUGGGCAUCUGUACUGUGACAGAAAACAUCUAAUGUUAUAAAGAAAGUGCACAAAAUGAAGCAGGAAUGGCGAACCAGGCAUCAAGAUAACCAUCUGAUUGUCUGUGAUUUGACCCCUCCAUGGCACUUCUUCUCUGCUGUCAUCCAUAUCCUAAAGCAAACAUACUCUUGACUUAAUUGGAGACUGAAGACAUCCCUAGGACAGGGUGGGACAGGCCAAAAGAGUCCACUCAUUUUCUGCUGAGGAUCAAGAUUUGUACUUCAUUCAAUGAAUACUACUAAGUACCCAUAAAGUACACAGAAGUAUACAUACCCCUUGUCAUUAGGGGAUGCAUUCAAGUAAGUCUUAUCCUUCAGUUCCUGGCUCCUUCGAUUAAAUCAGAGCAAAUCCUUGCUUCCAGAAA